UGCGUAGGCGGAUUAAUAAGUCAGUGGUGAAAACCUGCAGCUUAACUGUAGAACUGCCAUUGAUACUGUUAGUCUUGAGUACGGUCAAGGUAGGCGGAAUGUGUAAUGUAGCGGUGAAAUGCUUAGAUAUUACACAGAACACCGAUUGCGAAGGCAGCUUACUGGACCAUUACUGACGCUGAGGCACGAAAGCGUGGGGAGCGAACAGGAUUAGAUACCCUGGUAGUCU
Molecule: ribosomal RNA, 229 nt
Filed under: uncultured bacterium
Lineage: Bacteria
Description: partial 16S ribosomal RNA
Rfam family: Bacterial small subunit ribosomal RNA
Source: RNAcentral